RNAcentral lists this ribosomal RNA (253 nucleotides) under uncultured bacterium. Its description in RNAcentral is "partial 16S ribosomal RNA". It matches the Rfam family "Bacterial small subunit ribosomal RNA", at positions 524 to 776 of the family's 1533-position model. The record is from RNAcentral.
UACGAAGGGGGCUAGCGUUGUUCGGAAUUACUGGGCGUAAAGCGUAUGCAGGCGGACUUUUAAGUCGGGGGUGAAAGCCCCCGGCUCAACUGGGGAGGGUCACGCGAUACUGAUCGACUCGAAGGCAGGAGAGGGUAGUGGAAUUCCCGGUGUAGUGGUGAAAUGCGUAGAUAUCGGGAGGAACACCAGUGGCGAAGGCGACUACCUGGCCUGUUCUUGACGCUGAGGCGCGAAAGCUAGGGGAGCAAACGGG